Molecule: ribosomal RNA, 452 nt
Filed under: uncultured Oxalobacteraceae bacterium
Lineage: Bacteria; Pseudomonadati; Pseudomonadota; Betaproteobacteria; Burkholderiales; Oxalobacteraceae
Description: bacterial SSU rRNA
Rfam family: Bacterial small subunit ribosomal RNA
Source: RNAcentral
GCACAAGCGGUGGAUGAUGUGGAUUAAUUCGAUGCAACGCGAAAACCUUACCUACCCUUGACAUGUCAGGAAUCCUGAAGAGAUUUGGGAGUGCUCGAAAGAGAGCCUGAACACAGGUGCUGCAUGGCUGUCGUCAGCUCGUGUCGUGAGAUGUUGGGUUAAGUCCCGCAACGAGCGCAACCCUUGCCAUUAGUUGCUACGAAAGGGCACUCUAAUGGGACUGCCGGUGACAAACCGGAGGAAGUGGGAUGACGUCAAGUCCUCAUGGCCCUUAUGGGUAGGGCUUCACACGUCAUACAAUGGUACAUACAGAGGGCUGCUAAAUCGUGAGAUGGAGCCAAUCCCAGAAAGUGUAUCGUAGUCCGGAUUGAAGUCUGCAACUCGACUUCAUGAAGUUGGAAUCGCUAGUAAUCGCGGAUCAGCAUGUCGCGGUGAAUACGUUCCCGGGUCUU